GAGGCAACUCUGAACCAGCCAUGCCGCGUGCAGGAAGACUGCCCUAUGGGUUGUAAACUGCUUUUAUCUGGGAAUAAACCUUUCUACGUGUAGAGAGCUGAAUGUACCAGAAGAAUAAGGAUCGGCUAACUCCGUGCCAGCAGCCGCGGUAAUACGGAGGAUCCAAGCGUUAUCCGGAUUUAUUGGGUUUAAAGGGUGCGUAGGCGGCCUGUUAAGUCAGAGGUGAAAGACGGUAGCUCAACUAUCGCAGUGCCUUUGAUACUGAUGGGCUUGAAUGAACUAGAGGUAGGCGGAAUGAGACAAGUAGCGGUGAAAUGCAUAGAUAUGUCUCAGAACACCGAUUGCGAAGGCAGCUUACUAUGGUUUUAUUGACGCUGAGGCACGAAAGCGUGGGGAUCAAACAGGAUUAGAUACCCUGGUAGUCCACGCCCUAAACGAUGAAUACUCGCUGUUAGCGAUAUACAGUUAGCGGCUAAGCGAAAGCGUUAAGUAUUCCA
RNAcentral lists this ribosomal RNA (497 nucleotides) under Pedobacter sp. LACB-7. RNAcentral describes it as "bacterial SSU rRNA". It matches the Rfam family "Bacterial small subunit ribosomal RNA", at positions 374 to 871 of the family's 1533-position model. Lineage: Bacteria; Pseudomonadati; Bacteroidota; Sphingobacteriia; Sphingobacteriales; Sphingobacteriaceae. The record is from RNAcentral.